CUACGGGGGGCAGCAGUGGGGAAUCUUAGACAAUGGGCGCAAGCCUGAUCUAGCCAUGCCGCGUGAGUGACGAAGGCCUUAGGGUCGUAAAGCUCUUUCGCUGGGGAAGAUAAUGACGGUACCCAGUAAAGAAACCCCGGCUAACUCCGUGCCAGCAGCCGCGGUAAUACGGAGGGGGUUAGCGUUGUUCGGAAUUACUGGGCGUAAAGCGCGCGUAGGCGGAUCAGAAAGUUGGGGGUGAAAUCCCGGGGCUCAACCCCGGAACUGCCUUCAAAACUCCUGGUCUUGAGUUCGAGAGAGGUGAGUGGAAUUCCGAGUGUAGAGGUGAAAUUCGUAGAUAUUCGGAGGAACACCAGUGGCGAAGGCGGCUCACUGGCUCGAUACUGACGCUGAGGUGCGAAAGCGUGGGGAGCAAACAGGAUUAGAUACCCGUGUAGUC
Molecule: ribosomal RNA, 439 nt
Filed under: uncultured bacterium
Lineage: Bacteria
Description: partial 16S ribosomal RNA
Rfam family: Bacterial small subunit ribosomal RNA
Source: RNAcentral